Molecule: long non-coding RNA, 1232 nt
Organism: Homo sapiens (human)
Lineage: Eukaryota; Metazoa; Chordata; Mammalia; Primates; Hominidae
Source: Ensembl
CCUUUUUAAUAGGCUUAAAAAAUAAAACCAAGGACCAAUGAUUUAAGUGAGGGACUCCAGAGGCCACAGAUGACAGUCAAAACGAAGUGAAAUUGACAUUCGUUGUUGAUUUUCACGUCAUAAAAUUAUAAUUUAAAUAUUAAUUUAUAAUACUAUUUUAUACAAUUUAGUCAGUAUUGUAAAAGUGCCUAAAAACUACUUAAAGAUGGUGUCUUCUUGCAAACCUGUAAAUAUUCCUGGAUGAGAGGAAUGAUGACAGUCAAAAGAAGGAGAAGCCAGCUGUCAUUCUGUGAACAGCCCUCUGAAGAAGCCCGAGUAGCCAGGAACUGGUUUCCAGCCAAUAGCCAGCAAGGACCUGAGGCCGGCCAACAGCUAUGUGGCAAUGCAAAAAAUAAUGGUGCAUAUUACAAUCAAUGGCAUCUUUGAUUGGAUGUGGAAAUUCAAUUUUGUGUGCACAAUAGUCUCUCAAGAAUGGCAAAUUGUGCGGAGGAGAUUAAAGAUGGCUGACUAGAGGCAUCUGACAGUCACCUCCUCCAUAAAGAAGAAUCAAAAUAGCGAGUAAAUACUGGAUUUCAAAAGUGAAGUGACAAGAAACACCUAAAAGGAAAGAGAAAGAAGUGAGGCAGUCUGUUUGGCAGGAUCAGCUGGGAGCCCAGAGAAGCUCCCCAACGUGAGAAAAGGCUUGACUAUAAUGUGCUGUGGAGAAUGUCUUUUUGCAUUAUAAAUAUUUGAGAAUCUCUGAGCUUCUUGUAUCCAGAUGUGUAAACAUCCUGCUAGACUCGGGAAGUUUUCCACUAUUAAUAAAACUGGAAUAAAAGUGGACUAAAACUAGCAAUCAAUAAGAGUAACUUUGGAAAUGAUACAAAUACAUGGAAGUUAAACAACGUGCUCCUGAAUAACCACUGGGUCAAUGAAGAAAUUAAGAGAGAAAAUUUUAAAAAUGUAUUGAAACAAAAGAAAAUUGAAACACAGCAUACCCAAAACUAUGGGAUAUAGCAAAAGCAGUGCUAAGAUGGACAUUUGUAGCAGUAAUACCUACAUCAGAAAAAUGGAAGAUUUCAAAUAAACAGUCUAAUGAUGCACCUCAAGGAACUUGAAAAGCAAGAACAAACCACAUCCAAGAUUAGUGGAAGGAAAGAAACGAUAAAGAUCAGAGCAGAACUAAAUAAAAUAGAGACUUAAAAAAACAAUACAGGCCGGUCACUGUGGCUCACGCCUGUAAUCCCAGCACU